GCCCGAGUGCCUUGGGUGUGAUAUCUAGGGCAAGUGGCUCAUGGCAUCUACAGUGUCCUGAACAGGAAACGGGGCCACAGCUUUGAGGAGUCUCAGGUGGCCAGUAUCCCUAUGUUUAUUAUGAAAGCCUAACUGCUUGUCAAUGAGUCUUUUGGUUUUACUGACAGACGACCUGGGGUUUAACGCAGGCAGCCGGCUAGGCCUUCCUCUCGUGCGUAUGUGACCACUGGCGGAUGCUGUCCAGAGACCCGUUUUACGACACCAGCCGCCUGAGCCAGGAAGUGGCUUAGACCCCUAAGUGCAGAGGCCUGAAGGAAGGCAUCCUAAUUCUGGACAACUUGCUUAACAAAUUGUAAGCAGGCCUCCCGGAAGUCCAUCCCUGGGUGAGAUUCAGUGUGGCACCGGCGUCUGGCUGAUGAUGGACCGCAACGAGCCUUCAGAUUUCCUCAUGAUACCUCAAGACUGUCCACACACAGUGAUGCUCCACCUGGCAGGUUUCUGGGGCCUGACCAUGCAUUGCAUUGCUUGGCGUUAACACGUGAUGUCCUUUCCUUUGAUACUGAUUUCAAGAUUUCAGCGGCAACAGAAAUGCCCUUUCAGCAGCAUUCUCUUUGUGGAGUUGUGCUACACAUUGGAGGAAUCUAAUUACUUUUUCUGUGGAGCCAGGGGCUGUAUGCAAGUUCUUUACCUGUCAUGUUAUGGGAGACAGAAGGAGGCUGAUGCACACAAGAGACACCAAUUAAGUAAGUGAGAAGGCCAUCUCAGAAGUGGAUCAUCCAGCCCUAGUAAUGCCAGGCAAGCGGAGCCCUCUCAAUAUCUGAUGCAUAAAAUGACAGUCCUGGAGUGAGCAGUAUUGGUUUGGUGAGUAAUUCAAUUCACCUUUUACUAGACUAUCAGAAUAUUUCUAGAUCAACCAUAAUAGCUUGACCAGCUAUCAACUGGUCUAGCUAUCAACCAGAAUAGCUUUCUGCUAUUUCUACCUGAAAGCAUACAUGAGUACUCGAACCAUUUGAAUGGUAUAUAUGUGGACAAAUUUAUAUUCGUAUAUUUUCAUAUAUACAUUUAAGACAUAUUUAAAUAUAUGUAUAUGUGUAUUUUGUAUAAAAAUUUACAGAAAAUAUUCAAGGUAUUUAUGACAUCAACUCUUCCAGUACAUGGUGACUAAGGUAUUGAUGAAAUAUUAAGAAGAUAUAAUUAAGCAAAAGUCUUGUUUAGUGCUGUUGAGAUAGAAUUCUUUGGUUGUCAUGGUCACAUUGUGUUUAGAUUAUCUUUUGUGUCCAUUUCACUCUGCAUAAAAGUUUUGAGGGUUGUUUUUUUGUUGUUGUUGUUUGUUGUUUGUUGUUUUUUGUUUUUUGCCUGUGCUUUAAAUUUCAAAUACAAAAAUGCACCACAUUUAAGAGUUGAAUCUUUCAACUUUAGAUGAAGAAAGUCAUCUAUGUUUAUUCUAGGGCCAGAUGAAUGAUUGCUUUACCAUAAAAGUGAGGUUAAGAUUCUUUCUUUUAAAAGUUAAUAAAUAAGAAGAAUUAGAUAAAAUGGUCUGAAUUAGAAUAGACCAAAGAUCUAUUGUCUUUGUAUACUUUGUAUAUAUUGAAGCCCUGGUGUUGAUUUUAAGUUAUUUAUCAAAGAUAAAAUCUGGUGUAAUGAACACUAGUCAUUUUAGUUUUUGCUGCCCUUACUUUAACUCUUCCUUUUAAUUUGGAGAAUUUCUAAAAUUAGGAAGAUGAAAAUCUUCUUUCCCAAUACAAAAGCCAAAAACAAUAUAUUUACAAUUUGCUGCUCUUACUUUAACUCUUCCUUUUAAUUUGGAGAAUUUCUAAUAUUAGGAAGAUGAAAAUCUUCCUUCCCAAUACAAAAGCCAAAAACAAUAUAUUUACAAUCCUUCCUCAGAGUUCUCUCUGUAGGUCAGUUAUCUGGCUUUAUAUUACAACUUAUUCUAGAGUGAUAGUGACUAGCUUAUCAUCAGAAGAUAGCAUGUAUCUAAGUGAGAGUUUAUGAGGCUCCUAGUACUUGGAGAAUAAAAAGCAAUAAAGGAGGUUUGGGAAUGAGUGGAUGGACCACUCAAAAUCAUUCUAUAUUCUGAGUCUCAUAAGAAGCUGCUUUGGGGUAAAACAUUUAAUAACCACAUGAAGGAAAAGACCCACUCUGUGCACGUCUUCUUUUAGUCCUUUCAAGGUGCUAUAACAACAUAUCAAAGACUCAGUAGCUUGUAAAUGACAGAAAUUUAUUUCACACAGUUCUAGAGGCUGAAGGUCCACGAUCAGGGUGCCAGCUCGAUUGGGUUCUAGUGAACACCAUCUUCAAGGUUGUGGAAGCAAGUAAUCCUACUCCAAAGCAGUCACUGUUUCAGAAAUCAAGGACUUAAAUGCCAUACAUUUGGGUUCACCAAGUAAGUUCUGCUUAUUGCCAUGACUGAAGGUCCAACAUGCCGGCAUCAGCAUUCAUGUCCCCUUGAUAUACUACCAUAUCUUACAGUGACCAACCAGUCACCUAGUGUUAGGUUGACUCUACUUCACUGAAAAGAUGAUUAAUUUGGAGAGAAACGUUUUAUUAUUGUAUGUGAGGAUACAUUUCCCAGGCUCAUGAUUCUUGAAUUUAUAGAUUAGAUGUUUUAGAAAACAUUAGUGCUAUUCACCUUCUACAAUAAUUAUUCGGUGGGAUUUUUAGUUACAUCCAUCUUACAUUUCAUAAUUCUCAUGCCGCUGGGUCAAUGGAAAAAUAUAAUGAAACUCUGGUAUCACCUAGGAAAGUUAUUCUUAACUACCAAGAAGGCUUUGGGGAAUGGCUAUACAAUGCAGUCAGAGAGGAAAUGGAAGAGAAUGGAGGAGGCUAAGGAGUAGAAGAAUGCCAUCUCAGUGCUUGUCUAGUAAUAACAAUAAAAGGAGCAUUAUAGUUGUUUUAUAGAGUCAAGAUAAAUGAGAAUUCAGGUCCCUUAGGACUGAUCAUUUGGAGUAAAAUAUCUUUAAAAUUAUCCAACAUGAUAAGCUCUGAACCAUAAUUUGGUGCAAAGCAAGUAAAACAUGCACAUUGAUGAUGUUUCACGGUACUGAAAAAUCAUGGCUUACUACAAAGGAGUCUAGCAACAAAUAUGAAAGACAAUGUGACUCAAUUGGAAGAUUUUCAAUGUACUAAGUGAUGACUCAAGACAGAGCUGUAAAUGGCAAUGACUCCCCAAAGUAAGGCAGUGACUGGGGGGAAAGAAAAGACAUUGCUUUCUUUAUUUAUGAAGUGGUACACUUACUCUUUUUCUAAGGCAGGGCAAAAACCAGCUGAUCUCUGAAAGUUAAUUCUGGCACUAUGAUUGUCAAACUUUAGUUAGGCAAUGUUUUUUCUCUAACUAACUAUCACUAUACUUUUCCUUUCUGUUCAUAUUUGUCAAACUGAUUAAAGUCACAUCAUUCUAUCUCAGUAAAUUUCCAUCCCAAAUAUUAAUGUGAUAUUGCAGGACAUAGAUUAUCUGCCCUGCAUGGAUAUUUAAUAUCUCAGUUGCAAGAGGCAUUAGUUUCCUUUGCAAAGAAUUAAGUUGGGAAGUAUAUAUUUUACAAACCAGUGUGAUACAUUCUGGAUAUUAGGUGUUGAUCAUUAUUUCUUUCUCAGGACACUAAAUUUGUUUACUCUUCAAUCUAUUUAAGGAAUCUUAUACUGUUGGUUUCAGCUUUAUCUUUUUAGGAGAAAUUUCAUUAUGAAAGGAAAAGGCAUCACUAGAUUUGUUCAAACUUUUUAAAUGUCUCUGCCCACUAAUUUUACUUAACAAAAGUUUAAACAAAAAAGAAAGAAUGAACCAAAGAUAUCCAAACACAUUUCUAUAUCAUAAGGAUUAUAAAACAGCUUUAUUAAAAGCAAACAGUUAGAAUAUACUCCAGUAAUAUGCCUCAUGAAUAUUUUAGUUUUUUUAAAACUUUCACAAAAAUCUGUAAGAGUUAUACAAGUAAAUAACAAAUAUGUCUGAAGAGAAUGGCAUCUGUCCACUAAUGGUUGUUCCCAAGGAGAGAGCAUUUCUUCGCAGUCUCCGCUGGUCAUGGGUGAACUCUGUUGUUAAUGGUCUGUGAAUAGCAUCAUGGAUACUCUCCUGGGGACAGGCCUAGUUGCUAAUAAUUUCUACCAUGCAAAUAUGCUCAUUGACCUACAAUGGGGAUGAAAGUGCAGCCUUCUGAAGCUGUUUGCAGCAAUUAAACUCAGUGCCCAGGGUGGAUAAUUUCCACCAUCAGAACAAGGAAAAUGGUUAAUGCUGUGCUCUGCCUUUGUCUCACAUCCUGUAAUUUCUGUUGAAACUAUGUGUCAAGUGACUUCUUCUACUGAGGGUUUCCAGCAGAGUCAAUGUGUCUACAUCAUCACAUAUAUGAAAUUAGGUAGUUUAGAAAAUAAUGAUACUAAUGGGAAUACGAUGUAACUUUUCUGCACAUUAAUGUCUGUAUUUUUGUUGUACUUUCACUAGAACCAUGAAGGUGUGUGGGUGGAACUAUAGCCUAAUAGAGCUGUAUACAGGCUGUAAAUUGGAAGAGAGCCAGGGGAGAAGUCAGAGAGGCUUUUUACCCCUCACCACAUGAAUUUACUAUUAUUCUUUGUUGAGUUAUACUAAUAUACAAUGCAUUAUUCAUUAUUAUGUAUCUGGUUGUAAAAGUUUGAUAAAGUGAUAACACAUUCCUCAAACUCUAACCCAAAUUGAAGAAUAAAGAAAAAUAUUCAUACCCCUACUACAGAAAUUAAAAAGUGUAAGACAAAAGGUUGCAUGUUUCAUGUUUCAUGUUUCCUUUUUAGCAAUCCGAAGAGACUGGCACAGUCUCAUAUGCAUUUGUUCUAACUAUAUCUUUUAAAUGCCAAAAAUUGCACCCUUUUAAAAAGUAUUUUUUUUUAUUUACUAGGGCUUUCAAUAAUAUGGAUCAAUCUAUGUUUUUAGAAUAUAAAAUUAACACAAGAAUGAGUUUCAUUGUCUGAAAAAAAUUAUUUGAAACCUGUGAAAAAUACCUGUUUCACUGAGUGAUUGGAAAAUAUCUCAAUGUGUUGUUUUUUAAAUGUAUUUGUUGCUGUCAUUGCUUUUUCAUCUUUGUGAAAUGGUGCAUGUUAAUAAAUAACAGUAAAAGUGUGUUAGAAAUAGAUUUAACAGUUAUUAAGUCUAUUAAUUUUUGCAGUGGCUAACAAUCAGAUUUCCAGUCAUAAAGAAAGAUAACUAUUUUCUUUAAAAACUUGGGUAGCCAUUUAAUAUAGGCCUGGAUUUUAGUUAAAGUUCUUAAUUAUCCCUAAGAAAAGCCAAACCAAUCUCCAGAAUUUGCAGAAUUUGGAAAUUCUGUUCUUAGUUUGCAAAAAAUAACAUUGGUAUUUGAGGGGUUGGUGUUCAAUUCUUAUCAAUAAACUGAAAAACUAAUAUUUUUUAAAAAUGCUUAAAGGUCAUGGUGUCUAUUAAUUCCUUAGAUAAACCACGUUUUAUUCUUAGUUAGGCCAAAUGAUUGUUUUCACAUUUUAUAUUUUUUCUACAUCUCUUAUCACAAUCUAGCAUACCUUAUUUGUAUUUAUUGUGUUUAUUGUUUUUCUCUCCUUCAAAAAUGUAACCUUCACGAAGGCAUGGAUAUUCCUUACUGUGUUAAAUUCUUUAUCCUGGAACCUAGAGCAAUUUUUGGCACAUAUAAGUGCUCAUUAUAUAUUUGUAGAAAAAAAGAAUAUGUCAAUGUGCCACCCUUUGGGAUCUCGGCUGGCUUUUUAUUUUACAUUGAAGGCACUAUGUGUCUUAUAAAACAACAACUAUUAGGAAGCUUAGUAUCAAAUAUUUGUUACAUAUCCAGCAAAUAUAAAGCACCAAUUGAAUGAAUUUUGGACUUCAUAAUGACAUUGCUCUUGAUGUGCCUUUUUAUAUUGUUAUUUUUGAAUGUUACAUAAAAUAUUGUCUUAUAAAUCUGGAAAGUAAGGAGAAAAAACAAGGUAAAAGAAGGAGAUAGGAUAAUAAGAUGACAGGAAAGAAAAUAAAGGAAGGUAGAAAAAGAACAAAAGAAGAAGGAAGGAAGGGAGGAAGAAUUGUGCAAAAAAAAAGAAGCAAAUAAGAAUUGAGAGACCUAGGCAAGUUAAGUGGGAGGAAUUUUUGAAGAAAAGGAAACUAAGAGGAAGUGACCUUGGUAGUGAGGAAGAAAUAAAGGACUUGGGAACAAUUCCUUAGUUCGAAUUCCUGAAGCUGCAGAAUACAGGACAAAUAUUUUUUGCUUAGCAUACUGUAUUCUGGGUAAAUACAAAUCUUUCAUGGCUAAUUGUACUUUGCUUAAAUUUUGGAAGCCUUGUAGAGCUUUUCAGCUCUCUCCCUCUCCCAAUCAGUAAACCAGUCAAUAAGAUAAGAUGAAAUAAAAUAAAAUAAUUUACAUUUAGGUAAUGAAGUUCAUAUCUAAUAAUAGUAAUUUUUUAAAUUCUGAGUAGUAUUAGAAAUCAUUUAUUAUUUUAUAAUAAAUCUAGAGGGAGUAAAAAAACAUAGGCAUAAUGUAGGGUACUUCUGCAGUGAAGAACUGAGGGAUUACUCAUAAUCUUACAGCAAUGAAAGAACAGCAGCAUAUAGCUAACUAUUGGAUUAAUGGGAAGAGUUAAAGUUGUCCUCCAAAUACAGUCAUCAAUAACUUAUAGGAGCAAUAAUUCAGAAGAUGUUUGGAGGCUUAAAAUACAACUUAACAAUAAGCUACUCAAAGUACUGGAGUUGGUACCCUGUCAGCAGUCAGGAAAAAGAGCAAUUCUAGCAUUUGAUGAGCUAUGGUUACAGGUUAACACAUUAACACAGGAAACACAUUACUCCUCUAAAACCUUACUUCAAAAAUGUUUUAGAGAGAGUAAGAUCUGUUUCUUAUCAUUUGUUUCCUCACAUAAAGUCUUCUCUUUUUGAAAUCUAAAAAUAAAUGAGUUAAUGAAAAUCUACACUAAUUGAACGCAUCUAUUCAUGUACACAAGCACAUCAAUACUAGAUCAACCCAUUAAUUUUCCCUAUUGGCCUUAUCUGGAUGAUUUUACAUCACAAUACAUAAUGGGGGUCAUCUGGAAAAUGUCUAGUUAACCUUCCUGCCCUCCUCUGCCCUGUUCUGUGUCUUGGGAGACUGACUAUUAGGGACUACAUCAAUUGGGUGCCCUUGCCUUCUGACUUUGAGAUGGAUUUGACCAAAGAGCAGAAAUGGCAGGAGAUUAGAGGAGAGGAAAAUAGAGCCAGGUUGUUUAUUUUCUCACUCAUUUCUAGUCUGGGAUUUAUAGGGUCCAAGAUGCUUUUCAACUAUGUCUCCCAUUAACUAGUCUUUCUUAAAAUACACAAGCUCUCACUGGAUUCUGGUGACACCCCUUUUUCCCUCUGUUCCUUCAGGAUUACAGAGGUAAUGAUUUUAUGCAUUGCUAGAGCUUCUGUACCUCAACAUCCCCUGUUUGUUGCUAUACCCGGUUCACAUUGUACUAAAAAGUUCCUAUUAAUUUGUCUUCAAAUAGUCAACUUCCAUAUCCUUCCAUGAUGUAAAGGUAAUAUAUGUCAAAAAUAUAAUCUAGCCUUAUGACUGUGUCCUUUUGGGCUUAACAAACUGGGUUUGUAAAGCAAUGUAAGAAACAAUAAUUACAUCUUCAGCCCUGUAGUAUCAUUAAGAAACAAAAGAGGAAAAGUGAUACUGUAAAUACUUACAGUUUUAUAAUUCCACACUGAGCAUGGAGCCUGCUCAAGAUUCUCUCUCUCUCCCUCUACCUAUCCCUGGAAAGCAUGAGUGCGUGCGCUCUCUCUCUCUCUCUCAAAAAGUAUAAUAUAUAGACAAAACAUUUAUCAUCUGGGAAGUAUUAUAUAAUUAUUAGUUUUCUCAUUUAUUUUAUAUUAUUGCUAGAAGUAUAAAUUAUAUGACCCAGUAGAAGAAUACCUGAAUUGGUAGAGAACUGUAUUUUCGUUCCUAGAGCCAGGUUUCUGGCUUUGAGCCCAUUAAUUUCAGUUUUCAUUUCUCCUAGCUUUUUCAAAAUUACUGUAAUGGUCCACCUAUAUCUGAUGGCCCAGAAUGUCUUUGGCCUUUUCAUGUUUAAUGAAACUCAUCUAUGUUCUUUAAAAUCAUUUAAAUUAAAUAGUUUCUUUAUUUGUAUUAUAACAGAAAUCAUGCUUUGAAAUGUAAGGAAUAC
This is a long non-coding RNA of Felis catus (domestic cat), 8094 nucleotides long. RefSeq lists it as uncharacterized. The transcript has 4 exons. NCBI's taxonomy places the organism in Eukaryota, Metazoa, Chordata, Mammalia, Carnivora, Felidae. The record is from RefSeq and is a predicted model, not a curated record.